RNAcentral lists this ribosomal RNA (495 nucleotides) under uncultured bacterium. Its description in RNAcentral is "partial 16S ribosomal RNA". It matches the Rfam family "Bacterial small subunit ribosomal RNA", at positions 28 to 507 of the family's 1533-position model. The record is from RNAcentral.
GAUGAACGCUGGCGGCGUGCCUAAUACAUGCAAGUAGAACGCUGAAGGAGGAGCUUGCUCUUCUGGAUGAGUUGCGAACGGGUGAGUAACGCAUAGGUAACCUGCCUGGUAGCGGGGGAUAACUAUUGGAAACGAUAGCUAAUACCGCAUGACAACAGUUAUUGCAUGAUAACUGUUUAAAAGGGGCAACUGCUCCACUACCAGAUGGACCUGCGUUGUAUUAGCUAGUUGGUGAGGUAACGGCUCACCAAGGCGCCGAUACAUAGCCGAGCUGAGAGGGUGAUCGGCCACACUGGGACUGAGACACGGCCCAGACUCCUACGGGAGGCAGCAGUAGGGAAUCUUCGGCAAUGGACGGAAGUCUGACCGAGCAACGCCGCGUGAGUGAAGAAGGUUUUCGGAUCGUAAAGCUCUGUUGUAAGAGAAGAACGAGUGUGAGAGUGGAAAGUUCACACUGUGACGGUAGCUUACCAGAAAGGGACGGCUAACUACGUG